This 253-nucleotide ribosomal RNA is filed under the name uncultured bacterium. RNAcentral's name for it is "partial 16S ribosomal RNA". It matches the Rfam family "Bacterial small subunit ribosomal RNA", at positions 524 to 776 of the family's 1533-position model. The record is from RNAcentral.
UACGGAAGGGGCAAGCGUUGUUCGGAAUCAUUGGGCGUAAAGGGCGCGUAGGCGGCAAUUCAAGUCAUCUGUGAAAUCUCCGGGCUUAACUCGGAACGGUCAGAUGAUACUGCUUUGCUAGAGUGCGGAAGGGGCAAUCGGAAUUCUUGGUGUAGCGGUGGAAUGCGCAGAUAUCAGGAGGAACACCAAUAGCGAAGGCAGCUCGCUGGGACGGUACUGACGCUAAGGCGCGAAAGCGUGGGGAGCGAACAGG